This 516-nucleotide ribosomal RNA is filed under the name Triticum aestivum (bread wheat). RNAcentral's name for it is "partial small subunit ribosomal RNA". The record is from RNAcentral. Lineage: Eukaryota; Viridiplantae; Streptophyta; Magnoliopsida; Poales; Poaceae.
AUGGAAGUGACUGGAGUUGCUCAGCGUCAAAUAGGUACUCCCUCCAGCAGAGGUCUUGCAUUCUGGGUGGGAGCGACUUCAAGAACUUUGCGUUUGGGAAUAGUCAGGAAUACGAGGGAUGAACGGUUCUGUAGCAGCCAUCGUUCAGGUAAGCUAUCCAUCUCUGGCAGUCAUAACAAAUAUCCGAUGUGGCAGAGACUCUUUAGUGGCUCAAGAAGCAUCACCAAUUUGCAUGCGCUCCAGAGAUCCAUGCAUCAAGUACAACGAUUACACGCCACCAACAGUGUAUCCGUCUCAGUAGGCUACCUGGUAGUACUUGACCAUCAAUCGACUCCCCAGAUUAAUUUGAAGAGUUGUUGCAGCACGCAAGUUUGCACGUACUUGACGGAAAAUGUGUUCGCGAGAUCAUUCAUUCGGGUGGUUGAUGCCCCCAACAAUCUCUCACGUACUAAACUGAAGACAUUUGCAGAAAUAAGCAACGAGAGUUCAGCACAAACUCUACCCUGUUCCUAUUAA